AAUAUUGGAUAAUCGGCGAAAGCCUGAUCCAGCCAUGCCGCGUGCGUGAAGAAGGUCUUCGGAAGGUAAAGCACUUUAUGGUGGGAGGGAGGAGUUGAAGCUAAUACCUGCAAUCAUGGACGGUACCAACAGAAUAAGCACCGGCUAACUCUGUGCCAGCAGCCGCGGUAAUACAGAGGGUGCAAGCGUUAAUCGGAAUUACUGGGCGUAAAGCGCGCGUAGGUGGUUCAGUAAGAUGGAAGUGAACUCCCCGGGCUUAACCUGGGAACUGCUUUCAUAACUGCUGAGCUAGAGUACGGUAGAGGGUAGUGGAAUUUCCUGUGUAGCGGUGAAAUGCGUAGAUAUAGGAAGGAACACCAGUGGCGAAGGCGACUACCUGGACUGAUACUGACACUGAGGUGCGAAAGCGUGGGGAGCAAACA
This 422-nucleotide ribosomal RNA is filed under the name uncultured bacterium. RNAcentral describes it as "partial 16S ribosomal RNA". It matches the Rfam family "Bacterial small subunit ribosomal RNA", at positions 360 to 774 of the family's 1533-position model. The record is from RNAcentral.